This 73-nucleotide transfer RNA is filed under the name Ailuropoda melanoleuca (giant panda). It matches the Rfam family "tRNA". Rfam says of the family: Transfer RNA (tRNA) molecules are approximately 80 nucleotides in length. Their secondary structure includes four short double-helical elements and three loops (D, anti-codon, and T loops). The record is from Rfam by way of RNAcentral. Lineage: Eukaryota; Metazoa; Chordata; Mammalia; Carnivora; Ursidae.
GCCUAGCUGGCUUAGUUGGUAGAGCAUCUGACUCUUGAUCUCAAGGUCCUGAGUUCAAGCCCCAUAUUGGGCA